This 427-nucleotide ribosomal RNA is filed under the name uncultured bacterium. Its description in RNAcentral is "partial 16S ribosomal RNA". It matches the Rfam family "Bacterial small subunit ribosomal RNA", at positions 355 to 774 of the family's 1533-position model. The record is from RNAcentral.
UGGGGAAUAUUGCACAAUGGGCGCAAGCCUGAUGCAGCCAUGCCGCGUGUAUGAAGAAGGCCUUCGGGUUGUAAAGUACUUUCAGCGGGGAGGAAGGCGAUGCGGUUAAUAACCGCGUCGAUUGACGUUACCCGCAGAAGAAGCACCGGCUAACUCCGUGCCAGCAGCCGCGGUAAUACGGAGGGUGCAAGCGUUAAUCGGAAUUACUGGGCGUAAAGCGCACGCAGGCGGUCUGUCAAGUCGGAUGUGAAAUCCCCGGGCUCAACCUGGGAACUGCAUUCGAAACUGGCAGGCUAGAGUCUUGUAGAGGGGGGUAGAAUUCCAGGUGUAGCGGUGAAAUGCGUAGAGAUCUGGAGGAAUACCGGUGGCGAAGGCGGCCCCCUGGACAAAGACUGACGCUCAGGUGCGAAAGCGUGGGGAGCAAACA